AUUGAACGCUGGCGGCAUGCCUUACACAUGCAAGUCGAACGGCAGCACGGGAGCAAUCCUGGUGGCGAGUGGCGAACGGGUGAGUAAAGUAUCGGAACGUGCCCAGUCGUGGGGGAUAACGUAGCGAAAGUUACGCUAAUACCGCAUACAAUCUAUGGAUGAAAGCGGGGGAUCGCAAGACCUCGCGCGAUUGGAGCGGCCGAUAUCAGAUUAGGUAGUUGGUGGGGUAAAGGCUCACCAAGCCGACGAUCUGUAGCUGGGCUGAGAGGACGACCAGCCACACUGGGACUGAUACACAGCCCAGACUCCUACGGGAGGCAGCAGUGGGGAAUUUUGGACAAGGGGCGAAAGCCUGAUCCAGCCAUGCCGCGUGCAGGAUGAAGGCCUUCGGGUUGUAAACUGCUUUUGUACGGAACGAAAAGGUUUGGCCUAAUAAGCUGAGCUCAUGACGGUACCGUAAGAAUAAGCACCGGCUAACUACGUGCCAGCCGCGGCAGUAA
Molecule: ribosomal RNA, 500 nt
Filed under: uncultured bacterium
Lineage: Bacteria
Description: partial 16S ribosomal RNA
Rfam family: Bacterial small subunit ribosomal RNA
Source: RNAcentral